This is an RNA transcript of Canis lupus familiaris (dog), 7532 nucleotides long. It is a transcript of the gene named protein phosphatase 6 regulatory subunit 3, with no coding region annotated. The transcript has 27 exons. The record is from RefSeq and is a predicted model, not a curated record. NCBI's taxonomy places the organism in Eukaryota, Metazoa, Chordata, Mammalia, Carnivora, Canidae.
CGGAGGGAGGGCGGGGGGAACUCAAGGCCUGCUUGAUACGUCCGCCAUUUUGGGCGCUUCGCUGAUGGUGUCGGUGAGCGCGUUUCCCGCCUGAGCGCAACUAGCGGCGGGUCGCGGGCACCUCCAGGAGAGCUUCUGUUUUGCUUCCACAUCCCACUUUACCUCUGGCUAGUCUGCUAAUGCAGUGAAUUGGAAGACAACUGUUACCAGCAUAACCUGUAAUGGGCAAGGAGCCACAGAGAAGAAAACAUUUCUUUUAAUUUUUAAACUUGGUUGAAAGGAGCUGCAUAAAAAUAGGUGGCAGACCAGAUUUGGCAACUUCAGUACUGUACCCCCAGGUCCCAGGUCUCUGGAGUUGGCUCACAUGCUGAUGGCAGAAAGAAUGAAGUGAAAAAAAGGACCUAAAUGUGAAAAAGACCAGCAUGUUUUGGAAAUUUGAUCUUCAUUCAUCAUCCCACAUAGACACACUUCUAGAAAGAGAAGAUGUAACACUGAAGGAGUUAAUGGAUGAGGAAGAUGUUUUACAGGAAUGUAAAGCUCAGAACCGCAAACUUAUAGAGUUUCUGUUAAAAGCAGAAUGUCUCGAAGAUUUAGUCUCAUUCAUUAUAGAAGAACCACCUCAAGACAUGGAUGAAAAGAUCAGAUACAAGUACCCAAAUAUAUCUUGUGAGUUGCUCACUUCUGAUGUCUCCCAGAUGAACGAUAGGUUGGGGGAAGACGAGUCCUUGCUCAUGAGGUUAUAUAGCUUCCUCCUAAACGACUCCCCCUUGAACCCGCUACUUGCCAGUUUCUUCAGCAAGGUGCUCAGUAUUCUUAUCAGCAGAAAACCAGAACAGAUUGUGGAUUUCUUAAAGAAGAAACGUGAUUUUGUAGACCUUAUAAUAAAGCACAUAGGAACUUCGGCCAUCAUGGAUUUGUUGCUCAGGCUCCUGACAUGCAUCGAGCCUCCACAGCCCAGGCAAGAUGUGCUGAAUUGGUUAAAUGAGGAGCAAAUUAUCCAGAGACUUGUGGAAAUAGUUCAUCCAUCGCAAGAAGAAGAUCGGCAUUCAAAUGCUUCACAGUCACUUUGUGAAAUUGUUCGCCUGAGCAGAGACCAGAUGUUACAAAUUCAGAACAGUACAGAACCAGAUCCCCUGCUUGCCACUCUAGAAAAGCAAGAAAUUAUAGAGCAGCUUCUAUCAAAUAUUUUCCACAAGGAGAAAAAUGAAUCAGCCAUAGUCAGUGCAAUCCAGAUACUGCUGACUUUACUUGAGACACGGCGGCCCACAUUUGAAGGCCAUAUAGAGAUCUGCCCACCAGGCAUGAGUCAUUCAGCUUGUUCGGUCAACAAGAGUGUUCUAGAAGCUAUCCGAGGAAGACUUGGAUCUUUUCAUGAACUCCUGCUUGAGCCACCCAAGAAAAGUGUGAUGAAGACCACGUGGGGUGUGCUGGACCCUCCGGUGGGAAAUACCCGAUUGAAUGUGAUCAGGUUGAUAUCCAGCCUCCUUCAGACAAACACCAGCAGUAUCAAUGGGGACCUCAUGGAGCUGAAUAGCAUUGGGGUUAUAUUGGACAUGUUCUUCAAAUACACAUGGAAUAACUUUUUACAUACACAAGUGGAAAUCUGUAUUGCACUGAUCCUUGCAAGUCCUUUUGAAAAUACAGAAAAUAGCACAAUUACUGAUCAAGACUCCACUGGUGACAAUUUGUUACUGAAACAUCUUUUUCAAAAAUGUCAGCUAAUAGAACGGAUACUUGAUGCCUGGGAAAUGAAUGAGAAGAAACAGGCUGAGGGAGGCAGACGGCAUGGCUACAUGGGACACCUGACAAGGAUAGCUAACUGUAUUGUGCACAGCACUGAUAAAGGCCCCAACAGUGUGUUAGUCCAGCAGCUUAUCAAAGACCUUCCAGACACAAUCAGGGAGCGAUGGGAGGCGUUCUGCGCAAGCUCCUUGGGAGAAACUAACAAGAGGAACACGGUAGAUCUAGUUACAACCUGCCAUAUUCAUUCAUCCAGUGAUGAUGAAAUUGACUUUAAAGAAACGGGUUUCUCACAGGAUUCUUCUUUGCAGCAAGCCUUUUCUGAUUAUCAGAUGCAACAAAUGACGUCCAAUUUUAUUGACCAGUUUGGCUUCAACGAUGAGAAGUUUGCAGAUCAAGAUGACAUUGGCAAUGUUUCUUUCGAUCGGGUAUCAGACAUCAACUUUACUCUGAAUACAAAUGAAAGUGGAAAUAUUGCCUUGUUUGAAGCAUGUUGUAAGGAAAGAAUACAGCAGUUUGAUGAUGGUGGCUCUGAUGAGGAAGACAUCUGGGAGGAAAAGCACAUUGCCUUUACACCAGAAUCCCAAAGACGAUCCAGCUCGGGGAGUACAGACAGUGAAGAAAGUACAGACUCUGAAGAAGAAGACGGAGCAAAACAAGAUUUGUUUGAACCCAGUAGCACCAGUACAGAGGACAAAAUGGAGGUAGACUUGAAUGAACCACCCAACUGGUCAGCCAACUUUGAUGUCCCCAUGGAGACAACUCAUGGUGCUCCCUUAGAUUCCGUGGGUUCUGAUGUCUGGAGCACAGAGGAGCCGGUGCCAACUAAGGAGACGGGCUGGGCCUCCUUCUCAGAGUUCACAUCUUCCCUGAGUACAAAAGAUUCUUUAAGGAGUAAUUCUCCAGUGGAAAUGGAAACCAGCACUGAGCCGAUGGGCCCUCUGACUCCCAGCGUUGGCACGCUGGCUGCGCAGCCUGAAGCGCCAGCCAGUGUAGCCAUGGAAGCCAGCUCUGACGGAGAGGAGGAUACAGAAAGUACAGACAAGGUAACUGAGACAGUGAUGAAUGGCGGCAUGAAGGAAACUCUGAGCCUCACUGUAGAUGCCAAGACAGAGACCGCAGUUUUCAAAAGAGUGUUGAAAUCCUAUCGUGAGGAAGGAAAACUGUCUACCUCUCAAGAUGCUGCUUGUAAAGAUGUUGAGGAGAGCCCUGAGACAGCAGAGGUGAAGUCUGUGGGCCCCCGGCCCCCCAACAGUAACCCAGAGCAGAGUCACCUAUUGCUUAGACUGAGCCAGUGGUCUGAAGGGAUAGGCCAAGCCAAAGCCUCAGCCUCCGAGGGCCGGCGCCCUGGCCCAUACACACGGCCUCGCAGGUAGAGCAAGGGCGGCCUCCGAUUGCUCCAGAGCUCGCGCCAGAAGAUGAGGAUUUGCCCUUGGACCACAAGGAACUUUGCUCAGCACUUCCCAGAGUUAACUUUUCUUGUUAUAUAUACCUAAGUUUGUACAUUCCUUGCAUAAGGAAUAAAGUAAUCUUUAAAGCCAUUUCAGAAAAGCUGUCUUUCCCCCUCACCAGAUCCUCACCCCCAAAAUCAGUCAUGUUAGGGGUGACAUAACCAGUGGGACCCAGCAGGGGGCACACUCUGUUCACUGGUUGACAAACCUCUUUUGUGGCCCAAACCCUGCUUUUGUUUCUCAUGGGAAUUAUAGCCAGAAUGAGGAGUUUGCUUUUCUAUGAUUUAAAAAAAAAAAUCUUGGUGUAUAAAACAAAUCAAUUAUAAGAACUAUUUGAGCAUGUUGGCUCUAGUGAAAGCUUUGGGAGGAGGAGGCAUGGUGACACUACAGCAUUGAUGGAUCCGGCCCCAGGUAUGCUUCUAAGUGUUUUGGGCAAGUCACCUCUUUUUGCCUGCGGUUUCCAGUGGAUGUUUUUUCAAGGGUAUUUUGUAGGAUCUUAUUCCCAGUCAGUUAUGUCCUUUCCCUAAUUUCUGUCUACAACAUUCCUUUAUAUCGAGAUCUGUUUAGAAAGCAGGACAAUCCAGGUCUGUUCCAAUUUCGAGUUGAUUCAGGAGUCUCUUCUUGGUUUCUCAGACAUAAAUGAUACAGGAAGCUCUGGGAUCAUUUCCUUGGCUCUCUGGAGUGCAAAAUUAUUUGCCUUGGGGGAACCUGCUUGCUCUUCUACCCACCUAGAGACGUCUGGUGUGAAGAGUCCUGCCCCUCAAUCUGCUGGACUGAGGUGGUGGGGGAAACACUGAGGAGGGCCAGUGGACGAAGACAAGGGCAUCACGUGUGUCCAUGCGUUCAUCCAUCUGUCCUUCCUCUACCCAACACACGUGAGUGUGGCAGCCAGUGGUCUAGGCCUGGGGGUAAAGCAGUAGCAUAACAGACACCCAGAUGAUCUAGGCACAUGUAGAAAGAGGUGCUGCUGGAGGAUCGGGCCAGCUGGAUGGGAGAUCAGGAGUCCCACUUAGAUGGGGCAGUGGAGAAGGCUGCUCAGAAGGUGGCAUUGAGCUGCUAUGAUGGCAGGGAGAAGGUAAGUGGUUCCGCGAGCCCAUCUGUGUUCUAAGAGCAAUGUAUGGGAGGUGAAGAGAGCCACUGGGCCUUUCUGUCUGCACUUUUCCCCACAUGAUUUGUGUCACAACCAGGUAUCAGGGCCCCUUGGGUUGACAGGCGUGCACUACUGCACUUAAUGGUUUGCACUGCCACGGAAUUUAACUUUUUAACUAUUGUUUAUCAAGCACAUGCCAGCCUGUAUGCCAAGCACUUUGUAUACUUCACAUACUCCCCCACCUUUAGGGGGGUUGUUGUCCCCCUUUCACAGGGGGAGGAGCUGAACUGGGAGAGGUUAGAAGAUGGACUCGAGACCCGGCAGCUUGUGAGUGGUGAUGGUGUGAUUUGUACUCGGUGUGUCUGCUGGCAGAACCCCAGUCCCCUGGUCUCUGAGGUACGGAGACACCAUCAGUGUAAGCAGAGUGCAUUGCUUGUGGAGCCAGCUUUUUGGCUCUCUCUUACAAUUAGCAAAUGUCUGAAGCCUUGAGCUUGUGAGCUGUGAGCUGGUCCAGAAGCACCCAUGUGCUUCUAGGUACAUCUCUAAGCACCCUUUCCCAAGCCUGCUUUGUAAAAAUCUGGGAAUGCCACCAAGACUGAGAUCAUGACCUGAGCCAAAAUCAAAAGUUGGACAUUUAACCAACUGAGCCACCCAGGCGCCCCUAGCAUUCCCUCUUCUGUUCUCCCAACUUCAGCCCUAACACUUGCCUGGUGGGAGCACAUUUGUUAAAGUACACACCUGUUUUCAAAAGCUGGUCCUGUUUACAAGCCUUUUUUUUCCUCUUUCAGUAGAAGAAUCCUGCUUUUCAAGUGUAAUUUAUGUGGAGUCCAAUAUAUGGAACAAAUAAAAAGCUGUUUGAAGGAGGGGAUGAGCACAUGGCUCGUGAUGGGUCUGGGAGCAACAGUCUAAAUACCACUGACCUGGUCUACAGUGUGCUUCUAGGAGGCCGAAGUGGGAUGGUUUCAUGGAACUCUGCUCUGCUACAGCCCUUGCUAAAUGCCUGUUAACCAGAGCUGAGGACUGACCAGCCAAGCAUGCCAGGCGACACAUCCGUCAAUGGCCCCGUAUGAUGAGUGACCCCUGCUGCUGCUGGCUGAGGACUGCAGGCCGCCACCGUUCAGGGCCUCUGGAGACGUCACCUGGAGCCCACCAAGCCGUCACUGCUGCACUCACUCUGCAAGGGAUCAGGACCAGCAACCUUUAUAUUCUAGAUUCUAAGACAUUGUACAGAGAAAUCCAGAAGUGUAAAAAUAUUGCACAUUGACAAAUACCAAGAAUUUUUGCGUAUGUUUAUAUUGUAUUGUUCUAAAUAAUGGGUAGCCUGUGAAAUAAGAUCGUGCCACCCAUGUAAUAAUAGUAGUAAUACUAUAGUUAAAAUGGCUGUAAGAAUAGUUUUAUAAAAGUGAAUACACAGAUCUAUUGUAUUUGAAACAUAACUAUUUGACAAUUAUUAGUGUGACCAAAGUAUUAGGCAGUUUUCAUACAUUUUUCACCUUGUACAAAAUUCUGAAUUCAUUUCUCUUCCAGGCUGGCAAGGAGAUGUGGGGUUGAAAUGCCCUCUAAGUGUUAUUUUGGUUGUUCUAACUUACAAACGUGAUUUUGAAUAAGAAAUAUUUGGUGUUCUUUUUAUAACCAGUUUUUGAUUGGUAACUGUUUUCUGUAUUGUUUUAAACGGAUCAAAAAAUGUAAGUCUAUUGGUAGAGAUUAAGUAUUUAUUGCUACAACUUAGUUGAUAAAUUGAUGUUAUUGUAAAGCCAUAUGUUCUGUUAAAGUCUUGUUUGCUUGAAAUGGUUAUUCCUACAGGUGAAACACUAGACUAUUUGGAGUGUACAUGGCUUGUGGUUUGAGUUCUUUUGUUUUUCGUUUUUGUUUUUGUUUUUUGUUUUGUUUUGGUAGUUCCUCUGCCUUUUAACCCAUUCACCAAAAUUUACCUUGUUAACAAGCAUCACCAAUGAACAUUUCUGAGCAAUUUGCAUAUUUAACAAGCCUAAACCAUAUCAGGCAGGCCAGUUGAAGAAUGCUCGUGCUACGGAUGGAUUAGAGCACGUUCAUUUUACAGGCUAGUGUUUCCAACUAGAAAUCAGAACCUGGCACCUAAGCAUGGUAAUUGUGCUCCUGUACCUUGUGAGGUUUCCACUCGUAACUCCUAAACCAGUGUAUUUUUUUUAGAACUGGUUUGUGUAUAUAUAUAGUGAUUAUGGAUACUAAUUCAAUGUAAUUUAUAAUUUUCUAUGUCAAUAUAAAAAUACAUCACAGCCUUCUCAAACAGCUGAAGCAAUAUAUCAUAUAUUGCCAUAUCGUCUGGGGAAAGGGUUAAAUUUCUUCACCUCUUGCACUUUUAGAUGCAGAUCAGGUUUUCAUUUCUGUAAUAGACAACUAUUCACGUAUUUUUACAUCAUUUGUUUGUCCUGACCAGUAUUUAAAACCAAAAGGAUAUUCUGAAUAAUGGCCAACGAUUUUUUUAGAACUAGCAUCCCAAGCAGCGUGCCUAAACAUUACAUUGCAUAUGGAAAUAAAAAAAAAAAUCAAAUGUUUAAUGCCUUAUUUCUUAUUUACUUUUUCACUGUAAAUGGUGUAGAAAUUCUGUGUGAGGCUUACCAGGGCAGACCUGUCAAGGACAGUAGAGACUGUGGCGUGCCCUGGGACGGACAGCAAGGGUGCCUUACUUGGCCUUUGCACGCCUCCUCAGGAACCCUUUCUGUUGUGAGCUCCUCUCAGAAGAGACUGUCCUCAUGCAUUCUCCUCUGGAACCUAGCGCCACCAGAGGACAGGGCUCCUUUCACUUGUCUCAAGAAUGCUGACUUCCAUGGCGCCGGACCUCGGGGACCGCUGACAGAUGGUACACUAUUGUCUUGCCUGGUGAAGAGCCUUGCUGGCCACCUCCAGGGCUUGGCUCCAGGGAUGGCACUGCUGCCUCCACAGUUUGGAUUUGGUUGGCUUUUCCAUCCCAUCUAAGGUAACAGCAUCUUGUUGCAUCCCACCUACCACUGAUGCCAGGGCACUUGAUGUUUUUCUUUGGAGUAGUGUUUUGUUUAGUUUGUCUUACAUGGGAGGGAAAAGACAUAAGAAUGAAAAGAAAGUCUGUUGGGGGUGCCAGCCCAAGGGCCAGGAGCAAGUACACUCUCAUUUAGUCUCUAGUUUCUGUGUAUUGGCCUCAUUGAAUUGCGAGGCUAACAGAUGUCUACAAUACAGUUACCUGUAUUAAAAAUAACUACAACAAAAAUAAAGUCUAAUUUUUUUGUUUCUAGAAA